GAUGAAGAACGCAGCGAAAUGCGAUAAGUAAUGUGAAUUGCAGAAUUCAUUGAAUCAUCGAAUCUUUGAACGCACAUUGCGCCCGCCAGUAUUCUGGCGGGCAUGCCUGUUCGAGCGUCAUUUCAACCAUCAAGCCCCGGGCUUGUGUUGGGGACCUGCGGCUGCCGCAGGCCCUGAAAUGCAGAGGCGGGCUCGCUGUCACUCCGAGCGUAGUAGUUACAUCUCGCUCUGGGCGUGCUGCGGGUUCCGGCCGUUAAAAGCCUUAUUUACCCAAGGUUGACCUCGGAUCAGGUAGGAAGACCCGCUGAACUUAAGCAUAUCAAUAAGCGGAGGA
This 334-nucleotide unclassified non-coding RNA is filed under the name soil metagenome. RNAcentral describes it as "partial contains 5.8S ribosomal RNA, internal transcribed spacer 2, and large subunit ribosomal RNA". The stretch from base 1 to 120 matches the Rfam family "5.8S ribosomal RNA", at positions 35 to 154 of the family's 154-position model. The record is from RNAcentral.